RNAcentral lists this ribosomal RNA (385 nucleotides) under uncultured bacterium. Its description in RNAcentral is "bacterial SSU rRNA". It matches the Rfam family "Bacterial small subunit ribosomal RNA", at positions 370 to 772 of the family's 1533-position model. The record is from RNAcentral.
AAUGGGGGGAACCCUGAUGCAGCAACGCCGCGUGGAGGAUGACGCAUUUCGGUGUGUAAACUCCUUUUAUAUGUCAAGAAAAUGACGGUAGCAUAUGAAUAAGCACCGGCUAACUCCGUGCCAGCAGCCGCGGUAAUACGGAGGGUGCAAGCGUUACUCGGAAUCACUGGGCGUAAAGGACGCGUAGGCUGUUUAGCAAGUCAGAUGUGAAAUCCAAUGGCUCAACCAUUGAACUGCAUUUGAAACUGCUAGACUAGAGUAUGGGAGGGGGAGAUGGAAUUAGUGGUGUAGGGGUAAAAUCCGUAGAUAUCACUAGGAAUACCUAAAGCGAAGGCGAUCUCCUGGAACAUUACUGACGCUAAGGCGUGAAAGCGUGGGGAGCAAA